UGGGGAAUCUUGCACAAUGGGGGAAACCCUGAUGCAGCGACGCCGCGUGAACGAAGAAGGUAUUCGUAUCGUAAAGUUCUGUCCUAUGGGAAGAUAAUGACAGUACCAUAGAAGAAAGCUCCGGCUAAAUACGUGCCAGCAGCCGCGGUAAUACGUAUGGAGCGAGCGUUGUCCGGAAUUAUUGGGCGUAAAGGGUACGCAGGCGGUUUAAUAAGUCGAAUGUUAAAGAUCGGGGCUCAACCCCGUAAAGCAUUGGAAACUGAUAAACUUGAGUAGUGGAGAGGAAAGUGGAAUUCCUAGUGUAGUGGUGAAAUACGUAGAUAUUAGGAGGAAUACCAGUAGCGAAGGCGACUUUCUGGACACAAACUGACGCUGAGGUACGAAAGCGUGGGGAGCAAACAGG
RNAcentral lists this ribosomal RNA (403 nucleotides) under bacterium. RNAcentral describes it as "partial 16S ribosomal RNA". It matches the Rfam family "Bacterial small subunit ribosomal RNA", at positions 355 to 776 of the family's 1533-position model. The record is from RNAcentral.